AUUGAACGCUGGCGGCAGGCCUAACACAUGCAAGUCGAACGCGAAAGUUCCUUCGGGAGCGAGUAGCGUGGCGGACGGGUGAGUAACGCGCAGGAAUCUGCCCUGUAGUGGGGGAUAACCCGGGGAAACUCGGGCUAAUACCGCAUACGCCCCAAGGGGGAAAGCGGGGGAUCCUUCGGGACCUCGCGCUAUAGGAAGAGCCUGCGUCGGAUUAGCUAGUUGGUAGGGUAAAGGCCUACCAAGGCGACGAUCCGUAGCUGGUCUGAGAGGAUGAUCAGCCACACUGGAACUGAGACACGGUCCAGACUCCUACGGGAGGCAGCAGUGGGGAAUAUUGGACAAUGGGCGAAAGCCUGAUCCAGCUACGCCGCGUGGGUGAUGAAGGCCUCGGUUGUAAG
Molecule: ribosomal RNA, 398 nt
Filed under: uncultured bacterium
Lineage: Bacteria
Description: bacterial SSU rRNA
Rfam family: Bacterial small subunit ribosomal RNA
Source: RNAcentral